GGAAGAUCCGCACAUGAUUGGGCGGAUAGCUUGUGCCAACGUGCUGAGUGACCUCUACGCCAUGGGCAUCACGGAAUGUGACAACAUGUUACUGUUACUCAGUGUCGGCCAGAAUAUGAAUGAGGAGGAGUGAGAAAAGGUAACACCACUCAUGAUCAAAGGUUUCCGGGAUGCUGCUGAGGAGGGAGGAACUGCAGUCACAGAACUGGGGAUAGAACUCAGGACCUUGUAAAACAUGUUCUUUUAAAUAAAUGACAGAAAAUGAACCUGAAAAGGUCACCAAAUGAUUCAAUCACCUGGUAUGUAAGCACAAGGAUGGAUGAAUGAGUCUGGAUGAAUCAAAAAGGAGGAAAGCAAAACACAACCCAAGAUGCUAAACUAUUCCGAAAAUUUAAGUGGCUUGCUGUGUCAGUUGAUGCUUACCAGAGUCAGAUGUAGAAGAAUGGAAGAGGUCCGCGCUGGA
RNAcentral lists this long non-coding RNA (463 nucleotides) under Heterocephalus glaber (naked mole-rat). RNAcentral describes it as "lncRNA (ENSHGLG00000043493.1)". The record is from RNAcentral. Lineage: Eukaryota; Metazoa; Chordata; Mammalia; Rodentia; Bathyergidae.